RNAcentral lists this ribosomal RNA (508 nucleotides) under uncultured prokaryote. RNAcentral's name for it is "bacterial SSU rRNA". It matches the Rfam family "Archaeal small subunit ribosomal RNA", at positions 361 to 870 of the family's 1478-position model. The record is from RNAcentral.
GGAACCGCGAUCAGGGGAUACUGAUUGCCAGCAUAUUAUGUGGGCUUACCACCUGUAUAAACAGCAGGUGUUAGCAAGGGCCGGGCAAGACCGGUGCCAGCCGCCGCGGUAACACCGGCGGCCCGAGUGGUGGCCACUAUUAUUGGGUCUAAAGGGUCCGUAGCCUGUUCGAUCAGUCUUCCGGGAAAUCUGACAGCUCAACUGUUAGGCUUCCGGGGGAUACUGUCGGACUUGGGACCGGGAGAGGUAAGAGGUACUACAGGGGUAGGAGUGAAAUCUUGUAAUCCUUGUGGGACCACCAGUGGCGAAGGCGUCUUACCAGAACGGGUCCGACGGUGAGGGACGAAAGCUGGGGGCACGAACCGGAUUAGAUACCCGGGUAGUCCCAGCCGUAAACGAUGCUCGCUAGGUGUCUGGGACGGUGCGACCGUUUCAGGUGCCGCAGGGAAGCCGUGAAACGAGCCACCUGGGAAGUACGGCCGCAAGCUGAAACUUAAAGGAAUUGGCG